AGCAGUAGCCGCGGUAAUACGGAGGGGGCUAGCGUUGUUCGGAAUUACUGGGCGUAAAGCGCACGUAGGCGGCUUGGUAAGUUAGAGGUGAAAGCCUGGAGCUCAACUCCAGAAUUGCCUUUAAGACUGCCGAGCUAGCAGGUGAGAGAGGUAAGUGGAAUUCCGAGUGUAGAGGUGAAAUUCGUAGAUAUUCAGAAGAACACCAGUGGCGAAGGCGGCUUACUGGCUCAUACUGGACGCUGAGGUGCGAAAGCGUUGGGAGCAAACAGGAUUAGAUACCCCUGUAGUCCCUGUCUCUUAUAC
RNAcentral lists this ribosomal RNA (303 nucleotides) under uncultured bacterium. RNAcentral's name for it is "partial 16S ribosomal RNA". It matches the Rfam family "Bacterial small subunit ribosomal RNA", at positions 507 to 807 of the family's 1533-position model. The record is from RNAcentral.